UGCAGCUGUGUCAAAUUCAUUGCCUGCCUUUUCCAUGGUUGGCAUUGGCCCAAACAGCUGCCACAGCAAUAUUUGUAGUUCAUGGGCCUCGGAACUCUUUGUGGGUUCUGGGGAUAGUUUUUCUGCAAACACUG
This is a small nucleolar RNA of Anolis carolinensis (green anole), 134 nucleotides long. The record is from Ensembl. Lineage: Eukaryota; Metazoa; Chordata; Lepidosauria; Squamata; Anolidae.